UACAGAGGUCUCAAGCGUUGUUCGGAUUCAUUGGGCGUAAAGGGUGCGUAGGCGGCGCGGUAAGUCGGGUGUGAAAUCUCGGAGCUUAACUCCGAAACUGCAUUCGAUACUGCCGUGCUUGAGGACUGGAGAGGAGACUGGAAUCUACGGUGUAGCGGUGAAAUGCGUAGAUAUCUGGAGGAACACCGGUGGCGAAGGCAGCCCCCUGGGCCAACACUGACGCUCAGGCACGAAAGCGUGGGGAGCAAACAGG
Molecule: ribosomal RNA, 253 nt
Filed under: uncultured bacterium
Lineage: Bacteria
Description: partial 16S ribosomal RNA
Rfam family: Bacterial small subunit ribosomal RNA
Source: RNAcentral